UCUCUCUGUACCCCGACAUCCCUGGUCUCUCUGUACCCAGACAUCCCUGGUCUCUCUGUACCCAGACAUCCCUGGUCUCUCUGUACCCAGACAUCCCUGGUCUCUCUGUACCCAGACAUCCCUGGUUUCUCUGUACCCGGGCAUCCCUGGUUUCUCUGUACCCGGACAUCCCUUGUCUCUCUGUACCCGGGCAUCCCUGGUCUCUCUGGUAUGUAUUUGUAUGACAAUAACACCUUCCUGAGAGUUAUGUUGCCACAUCCCCAAAUAAAAUCAAAAUGACGUCUU
Molecule: non-coding RNA, 285 nt
Organism: Salvelinus sp. IW2-2015
Lineage: Eukaryota; Metazoa; Chordata; Actinopteri; Salmoniformes; Salmonidae
Source: RefSeq, a predicted model, not a curated record